UGGGGAAUAUUGGACAAUGGGCGAAAGCCUGAUCCAGCCAUGCCGCGUGUGUGAAGAAGGUCUUCGGAUUGUAACGCACUUUAAGUUGGGAGGAAGGGCAUUAACCUAAUACGUUAGUGUUUUGACGUUACCGACAGAAUAAGCACCGGCUAACUCUGUGCUAGCAGCCGCGGUAAUACAGAGGGUGCAAGCGUUAAUCGGAAUUACUGGGCGUAAAGCGCGCGUAGGUGGUUUGUUAAGUUGGAUGUGAAAUCCCCGGGCUCAACCUGGGAACUGCAUUCAAAACUGACUGACUAGAGUAUGGUAGAGGGUGGUGGAAUUUCCUGUGUAGCGGUGAAAUGCGUAGAUAUAGGAAGGAACACCAGUGGCGAAGGCGACCACCUGGACUAAUACUGACACUGAGGUGCGAAAGCGUGGGGAGCAAACA
Molecule: ribosomal RNA, 427 nt
Filed under: uncultured bacterium
Lineage: Bacteria
Description: partial 16S ribosomal RNA
Rfam family: Bacterial small subunit ribosomal RNA
Source: RNAcentral